Molecule: ribosomal RNA, 377 nt
Filed under: Carinartemis vesperus
Lineage: Eukaryota; Metazoa; Mollusca; Gastropoda; Stylommatophora; Streptaxidae
Description: partial large subunit ribosomal RNA
Rfam family: Archaeal large subunit ribosomal RNA
Source: RNAcentral
AGCUAUAUGUUUUUAUAUUUAGUUUUUUCUGCCAUGUGAUAUUUUAACGGCCGCAGUACUUUGACUGUGCUAAGGUAGCAUAAUCAAUUGACUUUUAAUUGAAGUCUAGAAUGAAUGGAAAAUUGGGAAAAUUCUGUCUCUUUUAAUUUUUUUUUAAAUUACUGCUAAGGUGAAAAUACCUUAAGUUUUAAAAAAGACGAGAAGACCCUUAGAGUUUUUUUGUUGGGGUGACAUUUAAGCAAACCUUAUUUUUUGAUAAAAUAAACUACCUUAGGGAUAACAGCAUAAUUUUUUAAAAAGAUUGUGACCUCGAUGUUGGACUAGGAAAUUUAUAAUUAGAAAUUAAAAUAAAAGGUUCUGUUCGAACUUUUACUCCU